UACGUAGGGGGCUAGCGUUGUCCGGAAUCAUUGGGCGUAAAGAGCGUGUAGGCGGUCCGGUAAGUCAGCUGUGAAAGUCAAGGGCUCAACCCUUGAAAGCCGGUUGAUACUGUCGGGCUAGAGUCCGGAAGAGGCGAGUGGAAUUCCCGGUGUAGCGGUGAAAUGCGCAGAUAUCGGGAGGAACACCAAUGGCGAAGGCAGCUCGCUGGGACGGUACUGACGCUGAGGCGCGAAAGCGUGGGGAGCAAACAGG
Molecule: ribosomal RNA, 253 nt
Filed under: uncultured bacterium
Lineage: Bacteria
Description: partial 16S ribosomal RNA
Rfam family: Bacterial small subunit ribosomal RNA
Source: RNAcentral